Heterocephalus glaber (naked mole-rat) is the source of this 489-nucleotide non-coding RNA. NCBI's taxonomy places the organism in Eukaryota, Metazoa, Chordata, Mammalia, Rodentia, Bathyergidae. The record is from RefSeq and is a predicted model, not a curated record.
CAGUCUUCACUUUCACUUUGGAUGUUGUCUCCUGGCUUCUAGCUUAAACUCCAGCCUUUAGCACAGACCCUUUAGCCUUCCAUUGAAGAUUCUUUGGCCCUCUGAUACAGACUCGCAUGGGACACUACUGUGAGUGCCAAGCCUUCAACUGGAUCCUUCAGGUCUCCAGCGCAUAGACAGCCCUUUUGCACUCUUCUACAGCUGACUCUGGGCAGCCCUGGAUAAGUUCUGAGCGUUGAAAAGAAAAGUCUAGAGAUGCAGCCAGAUCUCGGCGAAGCAAAGAGUCUAAAGUAUUUUAUGAGCUUGCUCAUCAGUUGCCACUUCCCCAUAAUGUGAGCUCACAUCUUGAUAAGGCUUCUGUUAUGAGGCUUACCAUCAAUUAUUUGCGUGUGAGAAAACUUCUGGAUGCUGGUGAUCUGGAUAUUGAAGAUGAAAUGAAAGCACAGAUGAACUGCUUUUAUUUGAAGGCCCUGGAUGCCUUUGUUACGG